GAUGAAGAACGUAGCGAAAUGCGAUAAGUAGUGUGAAUUGCAGAAUUCAGUGAAUCAUCGAAUCUUUGAACGCACAUUGCGGCCAUAGGUAUUCCUUUGGCCAUGCCUGUUCGAGCGUCAUUUACACCCUCAAGCCUAGCUUGGUGUUGGGCGCCUGUCCCGCCGUUUUCGCGCGCGGACUCGCCUCAAAGUCAUUGGCGGCGGUCGUGCCGGCCCCCUCGCGCAGCACAUUUGCGCUUCUCGGAGGCCCGGCGGAUCCGCGCUCCAGCAAGACCUUUCACGACUUGACCUCGGAUCAGGUAGGGAUACCCGCUGAACUUAAGCAUAUCAAUAAGCAGAGGA
RNAcentral lists this unclassified non-coding RNA (342 nucleotides) under soil metagenome. Its description in RNAcentral is "partial contains 5.8S ribosomal RNA, internal transcribed spacer 2, and large subunit ribosomal RNA". The stretch from base 1 to 120 matches the Rfam family "5.8S ribosomal RNA", at positions 35 to 154 of the family's 154-position model. The record is from RNAcentral.